Long non-coding RNA from Mastomys coucha (southern multimammate mouse), 902 nucleotides. RefSeq lists it as uncharacterized. The transcript is spliced from 2 exons. The record is from RefSeq and is a predicted model, not a curated record. NCBI's taxonomy places the organism in Eukaryota, Metazoa, Chordata, Mammalia, Rodentia, Muridae.
CAUGCAGGAGAUCUGGUGCAGGAGGACCUUGUGUUCUGCGUUAGAUUAGACUACACAGCAAGAGCUGUGUAUCUUUUAAAAGCAUAUUUUUUUUAAAACUCUGGAAUUAAAAAUGGACAAAUAAAACAAAGAAGAGAUAGAAGCUGAUGAUCCUGUGUAGCUAGGAGGAAAAUGGGACUGCUUAAGGAUAGCCAUAUUCUGGCCUAAAAACUCAGGAAGUACAGGAAGAAAAAAGUCUAUAUAUAUAUUACCUUCUGUUUUAGCCCAGCCAUCGGACAUUCUGACAGUCUCUGCCUGAAAGCUACUAUCCCACCUGGGGAGCUAAACAAAAGCUCUCUGCAAAUUGUCACCUCUCCUCUCCUGGAAGUCCACCCACUGAGAUAUGAAAACACCCAUUGGCUGAAGAUUUCCAAGUUGCUGGGGACUUUGGUGCCUGACGAAAGCUGCAGUGUUUACUUUAUGUAAACAUCAUGGAACCUAGAGACUCGCUUUUGCUUUCGCAGUACUAUUAUAAAACCCUGCCCCCUCUGAUUAACGAUUGAACCUUGAUAGGACUAUUUUGACUUGUUCCGUUGUUUUUCUUGCAAUUCUAAACCUUUCUUUCAGAUCCCUGUUCCUUCUCCUGAGAGACCCCAGUUCUUGAAACUGCAGGCAGUUUCAUAUACAUAAGAGACUAUAUGUACCUGGAUGCAUCCUGCGGGACCUGAGAGACAUUCAAGGACUAUUCUGAGAUCUCCUGGACAGCUCUUGGUUCGCCUACGCAGAGACUCAAGGUCUUCUUAUGAGUCUCACAUUUAAAACUCCUCUCAAUCAACCUCACUCGGCUCGACAGUCUCUAGUUUGGCUUAGAUCUUGUUGUCUUGCUGGCAGCUGCAAUAAAUGUAACUAAUUACAAUUGUGAU